RNAcentral lists this unclassified non-coding RNA (587 nucleotides) under Hevea brasiliensis (rubber tree). Lineage: Eukaryota; Viridiplantae; Streptophyta; Magnoliopsida; Malpighiales; Euphorbiaceae. The record is from RNAcentral.
GGAUAGUUGUCUUGAUCAAGUAAACCCAUCGUCUUUCAUUGUUCCUUACCUGAAAUCUGGUCUUGAUGGUAAGCAUUAAAUAGGAUCCUGAUGAUGACGACCACUCGUCCUCUUGUUAAUUAAUAUGAUCCAUUCGCCCAUUCAUUUUCCCAUUUGUUUUGUUUUUAUGUGGGAGUGUCAUGUUGGGUUUCUUCAUUUCAAUCACAUUUGGGGGAUUUUCACUAGAAAAUUUCACCCUUGAAUAUAUUCUAUCCAUGUCACUGAGGGCACAUACUAAUGAUAUUGUUCUUUUCCUACUACUGUAAUGAUCUUCUCACACUUACAAGUGUAAUUCUUCUUUAAGAACGAUAUUUAUCUCCAAAUGAAUUUCAAUCUUAAGGAGAAUCCUUUGUUUGAUUUGCUUCAAUCUGAUGUUUUGUUUGAUUUAGUGUUAGUGUUAUUAUUUAAUGCAUAGAAUUAGAAUUGUGAUACCUAGAGCUGUUGAUAUUAAAAAGAGUAAAUGUAUUUUUCAUUUCUCAUUGAUAUUUAUCAACUCAGCUGACUUGGUUUUUUGUGAUGUUCUAGAUCAUUAUGAUGUUAAAAUGCCU